AUACAACGGCGAUAACUAAUAUUAGACAUAGCGGAAAAUAGAUAAUUAUA
RNAcentral lists this unclassified non-coding RNA (50 nucleotides) under Leishmania tarentolae. Its description in RNAcentral is "guide RNA". The record is from RNAcentral. Lineage: Eukaryota; Euglenozoa; Kinetoplastea; Trypanosomatida; Trypanosomatidae.